UCAAAUACAUCAUUGAAAUUAUCUCCCUUACACUGCUUUUAAAUUAUGUAUAAAGUAAUGGUUAAUGAACAAUAAAGAUAAUCUAAAACAGUGUAAGGGAGGUAAUCCAAAUACAACGUUUUGGUUACUUCCCUUACACUGCUUUUAAAUUAUGUUUAAAGAAAUGCAUAUUUAUAAAGGAAGACCAGUAAAAAUAUCUGCAAAUGUUUUCAUCUUUUUUUUUUACAAAAAAAUCCAUAUGAAAGAUUUGACACUAUAUUUUUAUUAAUUCUAUUAUAAAAUAGAUUAAGUUAGCACUAUGGUAAAUUUAAAUGGGUAAUUAUGGUUGCCAACUCCAUUGGAAAUUUGAAUUGAGAUUAUGACCAUAUCUUGAGGGAAAGAAUUUUUUGGGGGGAAAAAGGGGGGGGGGAUAAAAAGAAAUUGUGGGGGGCCAAUUUUUUCUCAUUUCAGAUUUCAGAAAUUAAAAAGAAUUAUUCUUCAAAUAUUUUUUUUUUUUCAAAUUUCAAAUAUUGAAAAAUUUCAAGACGUAAUCUUUAAUUGCACAGUAUGGCGCAUUAGAUUUGUAAAAUCUUUGAUCACAUUUAUUUAUUUGUUAUGCUGAAUCUAACAGUGUAUUUAGAUUUUUAAUUUUGGGUCCAGUUUUCAAAUUGGUCUACAUUAAUGUCCAAAGGGUCCAAAAUUAAACUUUGUUUGAUUUUAGCAAAAAUUGAAUAUAUGAGGUUCUUUGAUAUGCUGAAUCUAAACAUGUGUUUAGAUUUUUGAUUUUUGGCCCAGUUUUCAAGUUGGUCCAAAUUGGGGUCCAAAAUUAAACUUUGUUUGAUUUCAACAAAAAUUGAAUAUAUGGGGUUCUUUGAUAUGCUGAAUCUAACCAUGUAUUUAGAUUUUUUAUUUGUGGACCCUGUUAUCUAAUUGGUUCAUAUUGAGAUCAAAAGGGUCCAAAAUUAAACUUUGUUUGAUUUCAUCUAAAAUUGAAUUAUUGGGGUUCUUUGAUAUUCCAAAUCUAACCUUGUAUUUAGAUUUUUAAUUUUAAGUCCCGUUUUUUAAAUUGGUCUACAUUAAGGUCCAAAGGGUCCAAAAUUAAACUUAGUUUGAUUUUAGCAAAAAUUGAAUUCUUGGGGUUCUUUGAUAUGCUGAAUCUAAACAUGUGUUUAGAUUUUUGAUUAUGGGCCCAGUUUUCAAGUUUGUCCAAGUUGGGGUCCAAAAUUAAACUUUGUUUGAUUUUAACAAAAAUUGAAUAUAUGGGGUUCUUUGAUAUGCUGAAUCUAACCAUGUAUUUUGAUUUUGGACAUUGGACCAUAAUAGGUAAAUUAAAAAAAUUCAAGUUCUUA
Mytilus californianus (California mussel) is the source of this 1328-nucleotide long non-coding RNA. RefSeq lists it as uncharacterized. The transcript has 2 exons. NCBI's taxonomy places the organism in Eukaryota, Metazoa, Mollusca, Bivalvia, Mytilida, Mytilidae. The record is from RefSeq and is a predicted model, not a curated record.